AUGGAACUGCUGUGUAGUCCCACCACAUUGGAUUUUGGAGACACCUUUCUUUCCACGGUAUCUGAACCCUGUUUCGUCUCGGUUUCUUUGCUUAAAGCAUUCACUGAAGGCAAAUGCCCCUUGAACCUUCACCAAGGUGCAACGCGAGCUGGUGACUGGCAGGGGAUGGACUGCUGCAUCUUCAGCGAGACUGACCCUGCGAGCGUGAGACCUUCAGUCGCACCACAGAGCCAACGUCCUGAUGCCUGCACCGUCACGCUUCCCUCAGCUUGAGCUUGCCCUCAACUGAAACACCCUCCUCUCCUGCAAUGGGAAGAACCACGCCACCACGUCCAGCAAAGGAAACAGUUCAGAGCAGGAAUUUGGGCACAGCCACUGUGUGACAGGCUCUUCAUCACCCACCCUGGGAAGUGGAGCUGGCAGCGAGGGAAGCCAGCAUCCAGCAGGGAAGGUACUGCUCUCCCUUGUACUACAAAGCAACCUCCGCCUUGAACAGCUCUCCGGUGGGGGGACUGGCUCGAUUUUCCCUCUGUGGUAACGCUGUGAGACCUGAUUAGAGCUUAAACAACCUCUUAAGGAAGGGACAUAGCAAUUAUACCUUCCCUGUUGGUCCCAACUGUCCUAGGAGGAAAUCAUUAGGCACAUUGCUACUUUUAAAACAGUCUUGAAUCAGCUUAUGAAAUAGAGCUGGCCAAAGCAAAAAUAACCCCCGAACUUCUAAUUAAAAAGAGAAACCAUUUUGAGAGUUUUUUUUAAACCAGUUAGGGAGGGGAGAGAGAAUUCUGCUGAAGAGGGUCCAACUUGCUAUAGUUUAGAAAAAAAUCAUACUUACAUUUUCUGUGAAAAUUGCUUUUAGACAGAAAAAAGAUGCACAAAAAUAUUCAUAGGAGUCAGAAGUCUACAGUAAUGUCUAUAGCGACUGCUCCUUCAUUUCUAAGCUCUGUAGGCCUCCGAAGAGCAAAGUUUAAAAAAAUCCCCCAAAAGCGCAAGUCGUUGUUGUCAGUGUAAUAUGAGAACAAGCGAGCUGCAAGUUUUCCACCCACCCCUUCCCUUCACAGUGGCUUUAUCCGUGCGGCCUCACAUGCUCCUACACAGCAGGGCUGCUAUUUUCCAAGAAUAACUGGUGUCUUCACUUAACAGCGCCUUAAAGGAGCCUGGUUUGCCGAUUCCCCUCUCAGAUGGAGCACUGCAUACAACUCAUCAGUUUUGAGCACGUCAGGGUUACUAUUCAGACCUGAGGUGCCGACAGAGGGGAUCGCGUUUAGCCGGGGGA
RNAcentral lists this long non-coding RNA (1273 nucleotides) under Dromaius novaehollandiae (emu). RNAcentral's name for it is "lncRNA (ENSDNVG00000014101.1)". The record is from RNAcentral. Lineage: Eukaryota; Metazoa; Chordata; Aves; Casuariiformes; Dromaiidae.